GGGGAUUACAUGCCAACUGGGGAGAGAAAAACGGCAGGAGGAGGGGCUGAAUUUGCAAGAUAUAUACACACACAAAAACACAAAUAAUUGAGGGAAGACAGUUAUUGAAAUUGGGAAAAUACAUACAAUUGUAGGCUGCUGAUGUAUAUUAUAUUCACACAUAGGCUGCUAGAAUUAUUUAUAAAACACACAACCAUUGGGCUGAGAAAUUGGAGAAGAAUUGGAUUUUGUUUUGAGAGUUGACAGGGUGGUUGUGAGCAUUAUGAAGACAUAAAAGGCUGCUGAAAUAUAUACAUAUGUACACGGCUGUUCAUCAAGUAUAUACAUAUACAGAAACCGCUGCUAGAGGAGAAAAAAGGGCCGACCAUACGCACAAAAUUGGAGACGGACCGAAAGCAGUUGAAGAAAGAAUUUCAGAUUUUUUGUAUAACAGUCCAUCAACAAUUUGUGCAAGAAUUUGGAUAUUAAUCACGUUCCAUCAAUUUCUCGGUGAUGUCCUUUCAAUUUUAUGUGUUUAAUUCCAAUCUUAUGUCAGGCUAAUUUUUUUCAUGUAUUGGAUGAAGAUGAAACUCUUUGUUAUUUAAUUUUAAUUCGAGACGUGUUUUAGUUGAAUUCUUGUAAUUUUUUAUUAAUCUUGCAUGCUUAAUUUUAUUAUUUGAUUGCUUGAUCACCAAUUAAAUAUAUGGUUGCUUGUUGUAGUGCUGAAAGACUCUUAAUAGAUCUGGAACACUGCUUGAUUAACAUGCGUG
This 749-nucleotide long non-coding RNA is filed under the name Olea europaea subsp. europaea. Lineage: Eukaryota; Viridiplantae; Streptophyta; Magnoliopsida; Lamiales; Oleaceae. The record is from RNAcentral.